Molecule: ribosomal RNA, 1401 nt
Filed under: Panorpa japonica (common Japanese scorpion fly)
Lineage: Eukaryota; Metazoa; Arthropoda; Insecta; Mecoptera; Panorpidae
Description: eukaryotic LSU rRNA
Rfam family: Eukaryotic large subunit ribosomal RNA
Source: RNAcentral
UAAUUUAAGCAUAUUAUUAAGCGGUGGAAAAGAAACUAACUAGGAUUCCCUUAGUAGCGGCGAGCGAACAGGGAUGAGCCCAGCACUGAAUCCCGUGGCCUAUAUGGACACUGGGAAAUGUAGUGUUUAGGAGGAUUCAUAUAUCCUGAAAUUAUGUAGCGCGUCUAAGUCCAUCUUGAAUGGGGCCAAUUACCCAUAGAGGGUGCCAGGCCCGUAGGACUGUUACUAAUUUCGGGAGAAUCUCUCCUUAGAGUCGGGUUGCUUGAGAGUGCAGCUCUAAGUGGGUGGUAAACUCCAUCUAAGGCUAAAUAUGACCACGAGACCGAUAGCGAACAAGUACCGUGAGGGAAAGUUGAAAAGAACUUUGAAGAGAGAGUUCAANAGUACGUGAAACCGUUCAGGGGUAAACCUGAGAAACCCGAAAGUUCGAAUGAGAAGAUUCAGUAUCUUACAUUUGGUCGACCAUUUCUAUUUUAUGUGAUAAUUUUUAAUGACUUGUCAUUAAUAUUACACUAAUUUGUUAUGAGAUUUGGCUAUGGAGAUAUGCACUUCUUCUCUAGUAGGACGUUGCAACCCAUUGGAUGUUAAUCUAAGGUCCUUAUGGUAGCCUAUUUUAUAUAUAUUUCGGUAUAUGUGAAUUAGACCUUAGGUAACCUGAUUAACUUGUUCGAUGGUAUUUCAUAAUAUUGGGCCGCCUAUAUGGCAUUCAAACUAUUUUCAAGUUUGUACGGAUUUUUGGAUAUCAGACCUAGUGCUGUUACUGAAACCGUUACUAUUGCUGGAAUUUAGUAUAUUGAAUAGACUCUUUAUAUAGAUUAGCAACGCUUUUGCUUUGGGUACUUUCAGGACCCGUCUUGAAACACGGACCAAGGAGUCUAGCAUGUGCGCAAGUCAUUGGGACUUAAUAAACCUAAAGGCGUAAUGAAAGUAAAGAUUCACUUUAAGUGGAUUUAGGGAAGAUGUAUAAUCAUAAUGAUUGUAUCGCAUUCCCGGGGCGUCUCAUAUUCAUUAUGAAUAGAGGCGCACCUAGAGCGUACACGCUGGGACCCGAAAGAUGGUGAACUAUGCCUGGUCAGGUUGAAGUCAGGGGAAACCCUGAUGGAGGACCGUAGCGAUUCUGACGUGCAAAUCGAUCGUCGGAACUGGGUAUAGGGGCGAAAGACUAAUCGAACCAUCUAGUAGCUGGUUCCCUCCGAAGUUUCCCUCAGGAUAGCUGGCAUUUAAAAUUUAGACUUGAUAACGAGUCUCAUCCGGUAAAGCGAAUGAUUAGAGGCCUUGGGGCCGAAACGACCUCAACCUAUUCUCAAACUUUAAAUGGGUGAGAUCUCUGGCUUGCUUAAAUAGUGAAGCCAGAGAUUUGGAUCAGAGUGCCAAGUGGGCCACUUUUGGUAAGCAGAACUG